UUUUUAUGGAGAGUUUGAUCCUGGCUCAGGAUGAACGCUGGCGGCGUGCCUAAUACAUGCAAGUCGAGCGAACAGAUAAGGAGCUUGCUCCUUUGACGUUAGCGGCGGACGGGUGAGUAACACGUGGAUAACCUACCUAUAAGACUGGGAUAACUUCGGGAAACCGGAGCUAAUACCGGAUAAGAUUUUGAACCGCAUGGUUCAAUAGUGAAAGACGGCCUUGCUGUCACUUAUAGA
Molecule: ribosomal RNA, 237 nt
Filed under: Staphylococcus pasteuri
Lineage: Bacteria; Bacillati; Bacillota; Bacilli; Caryophanales; Staphylococcaceae
Description: 16S rRNA. Bacterial SSU
Rfam family: Bacterial small subunit ribosomal RNA
Source: RNAcentral